GCCCUAAGUAUAGCUCAGUUGGCAGAGCAUGAAACUCUUAAUUUCAGGGCUGUGAGUUUGAGUCCCAUGUUGGGUG
Molecule: non-coding RNA, 76 nt
Organism: Podarcis lilfordi (Lilford's wall lizard)
Lineage: Eukaryota; Metazoa; Chordata; Lepidosauria; Squamata; Lacertidae
Source: the annotation of a GenBank genome assembly